CAGUGUAAUAUUCUCUCCAGAUCGUAUAAAUCUUUCGCCUUUUACUAAAGAUUUCCAUUCAGUGCACCAACAAAAUGCAGCAGUUCUGGCAAAGGAUACAAUUCCUGGGGUGCUGUCCAAGCACCAGUGC
Gopherus evgoodei (Goodes thornscrub tortoise) is the source of this 130-nucleotide small nuclear RNA. Its record names the gene U5. It matches the Rfam family "U5 spliceosomal RNA". Rfam says of the family: U5 RNA is a component of both types of known spliceosome. The precise function of this molecule is unknown, though it is known that the 5' loop is required for splice site selection and p220 binding, and that both the 3' stem-loop and the Sm site are important for Sm protein binding and cap methylation. NCBI's taxonomy places the organism in Eukaryota, Metazoa, Chordata, Testudines, Testudinidae. The record is from Ensembl.